GCCAAAAUUAAGUUCAAACACCAAAGAAUACGUUGACCUAUCAAUUAUGUAGAAUUGAAAAGCGAGAUAAUUCAAAGGUAGAAUUAAAAAUUCUUGACCCAAAGUUUAUAAUUAAACAAGAAUCAAGAAUACAAAGAUUGUUGAACCCUACAAGAUUAAUCACUCUUGAACAAUUUAGUUUAGUUCAAGAAAGAAUUUAGGAGAAAUCCCUCUCUUGUAUUG
RNAcentral lists this unclassified non-coding RNA (222 nucleotides) under Hevea brasiliensis (rubber tree). Lineage: Eukaryota; Viridiplantae; Streptophyta; Magnoliopsida; Malpighiales; Euphorbiaceae. The record is from RNAcentral.